This 263-nucleotide unclassified non-coding RNA is filed under the name Hevea brasiliensis (rubber tree). The record is from RNAcentral. Lineage: Eukaryota; Viridiplantae; Streptophyta; Magnoliopsida; Malpighiales; Euphorbiaceae.
GUGCUCUCGACCCACGAUGCGGGCGGCGUGACCGCGCGCGACAUCGCGCUCGCGGAAGCGAUGGACCGGAUUGCGGGCUGAGCCGUCAUUGCGGGCCAAUGGGUCCGGCUUCGCCGGCCCGAUGAUAAACUCCGCGAAGCAAUCCACGGCUACGGGCAGGAAAGCUGGAUCGCUUCGUCGCAAGGGCCGCUCGCAAUGACGUCUUGCAGGGGCGUAUGCGGUUCUUAUGUGAUGCAUGCGCGUUGCAAAGCGCAACCGUGAGG